CAGCAUCUUUUUCUCUGGAGAUUGCUCCUUUGUGAAGUUUACUGCAAGCCUUCUACACUGUUUCAAGACAACAGAAUUGAUGGAAAGGAAAACCGACAUCCAAUUUGAGGAAGAACAAGAUUCAGCUGUAAAUGUUCAGCAGAAAAGCAUGAUGGCUCCCUGCUUGCAUAGAGCAAGGAAUGUUUAAAAAAAUAAAUAAAUAAAUAUCAAUUUAAACACAAAGAAGAGUAAAGAGCAGAGUAACCAAACAGGGUAAG
Coturnix japonica (Japanese quail) is the source of this 257-nucleotide non-coding RNA. Lineage: Eukaryota; Metazoa; Chordata; Aves; Galliformes; Phasianidae. The record is from RefSeq and is a predicted model, not a curated record.